AGUAUCCUGUAUCCGUGCUGAGAUUUCGUCACACACCAGACCACAAGGGCUGAUGAGACUUCCAAGAUAAGUGAAGCG
This 78-nucleotide microRNA precursor is filed under the name Schistosoma margrebowiei. RNAcentral's name for it is "mir-3492 microRNA precursor family". It matches the Rfam family "mir-3492 microRNA precursor family". Lineage: Eukaryota; Metazoa; Platyhelminthes; Trematoda; Strigeidida; Schistosomatidae. The record is from Rfam by way of RNAcentral.